AUGGGGGUUGCCUCUCCUUCGUCGCUGUCUCCGGCCGCCGCCGCCACUGAUAGCCCGCACCCGACCUACACCAAGAUGAUUACGGAAGCGCUCACCGAGCUAGGAGGCACCUCUAGUCGUGAUGCCAUCGCCGGAUUCAUCCUCGGUCGCUUCACCGACCUCCCUGCUGCCCACGACGCGCUCCUAUCUUCCCACCUCCGGUGCCUCGUCUCCGAGGGCGUCGUCUCCGAGGGCAUCAUCCGCAGCUUUGCAUCCAUCUACAUCUUGCCAACCCCGGCCCGGCCCCGCAAGGACCCCCCUCAUCGCUUACAUGCGAGCUACAAUGAUGACAACUCCUCAAGUGAUGACGAUGACGAUGACUACACUUGUGAUGACGACGAUGAUGAAUACACUCCUGCGCGUGCAGCAUACAUGCUGGGAACAAAGCGUGGUCGUGGACGAGUAUCAAGCGCGGCCCCGCCUGUGUCCACACUUGAUUCCUCGAUGACAAAGAGAGGGCGUGGGAGGCCAAGAAAGGAACCAGAAGCAAUGUUAAGGAGCAUCAAGCGUGGCCCUAGUCGCCCUCACAAGGACGCAUCUCCAUUCCCCGCGUCGGCGUCAGCGACCAAGCCCAAGAAAUUGUUGGAUCUCAAUUUGGACCCAUCUGAGGGAUUACAGAUUAGAAGUGAUGAUGAUGAGGAUGUCUACAGUGGUGAUGGUGGUGAUGAUGACGAUGAUGUUGACUACACUCCUAUGCUAGGAGAAAAGCGUGGUUGUGGACACCCACGAAAGAGGGGGUGUGGCUGGCCUUGUAAGGUUGUGUUGUCUGCCAAUGGAGGAGGUGCUUCCUGCCCAUUGACCAAGAGAGGGCGUGGAAGACCAAGGAAGAGACAAAAUGCUUGUCGAUCAGAAGCUUCUUUUCAGAAUGGAGGUGACACAAUGCCUAUGCAAACCCCCGAAGGUGAUUUCUUGAUGCCAAAGAGAGGGCGUGGGAGGCCGACAAAGGAAACAUAA
RNAcentral lists this ribosomal RNA (993 nucleotides) under Triticum aestivum (bread wheat). Its description in RNAcentral is "partial small subunit ribosomal RNA". Lineage: Eukaryota; Viridiplantae; Streptophyta; Magnoliopsida; Poales; Poaceae. The record is from RNAcentral.